RNAcentral lists this ribosomal RNA (382 nucleotides) under Bradyrhizobium sp. Its description in RNAcentral is "bacterial SSU rRNA". It matches the Rfam family "Bacterial small subunit ribosomal RNA", at positions 995 to 1378 of the family's 1533-position model. The record is from RNAcentral. Lineage: Bacteria; Pseudomonadati; Pseudomonadota; Alphaproteobacteria; Hyphomicrobiales; Nitrobacteraceae.
CGGUCGCAGAGACGUGACCUUCUCUUCGGAGCCUGGAACACAGGUGCUGCAUGGCUGUCGUCAGCUCGUGUCGUGAGAUGUUGGGUUAAGUCCCGCAACGAGCGCAACCCCCGUCCUUAGUUGCUACCAUUUAGUUGAGCACUCUAAGGAGACUGCCGGUGAUAAGCCGCGAGGAAGGUGGGGAUGACGUCAAGUCCUCAUGGCCCUUACGGGCUGGGCUACACACGUGCUACAAUGGCGGUGACAAUGGGAUGCGAAGGGGCAACCCCUAGCAAAUCUCAAAAAGCCGUCUCAGUUCGGAUUGGGCUCUGCAACUCGAGCCCAUGAAGUUGGAAUCGCUAGUAAUCGUGGAUCAGCACGCCACGGUGAAUACGUUCCCGGG